ACUAUUUCAAUGUACGUGGUGAAUAUAUAAAACUAAAAAAAAAAUUAUAGAUGUAUUAUGAGUAUUAUAUAUGAAUUUCAAACAUUUCAAUAUAAUUUAAAUCAUGUUCCGUUAUUAAAAAUAUAUUAUAUUAGUUAAAUAACAACUUUCAAAUUCACAAAAAUGUAUAAUAUUUGAAUUCCAAUUGCAUUACGGCGAUUCUCUGUUAGAUUCAAUUUUAAUGCAAUAUUAAAUAUUCUAAUUAUUUUAUCACAUUUCGAUCAUUUUCAUUUACCCCAAUUCCUAGAAAUUUCCACCUCUUAUCAGAAAAGAUCCGCCAUGUUCCUCUGAAAAAUUCCUCCGAUGAACAACUCAACCAACAAAUCCAACUCACCUAACAAAAGCCAAGAAAUGACUAGAUCUAGCCAAAAUUGGUGGUUACUGUUGGAAUAAUGAUGGUCGGUCCUAGCAGUGGGAGUGUUGGUGGUGGUGGAUUUCACCCAAAAAAUGGGGAAAAUAGGAGUUUGGCGGGUGGUUAUGUAAUGUUGAGGAAGGUGUAAGAAUGGAGAAGCAAAUCUUUUUGUAAAAGGUGUAAAAGUGAAGAAUGACCAGAUCUGGACGAUUUUACUGUUGUUUCGUAGUAGCUUCGGCGGCGUAAGUUCGCCGAAGAAGACUUUGAUUGGUAUGUGAUUUCUGAUUGGAGAGGGUGGAGGAAGAGUAAUAAAUUGUAAAAGUAGGCUAUAAUAAAUUUACAUUAUAUUAUUUAUGUAAUUAUUCCUAUUUUAUGACAUUAGUAUUGAUUUGGAUUUUAUUUGAGUUAUUUAUGAGUUAUAAAACUUAGGGGGGAAAAAUGAUACCUAAAAUUAAAAUAAUAUCAUAAAAAUAGCACCCAUAAUUAAAUACUCACUAAAUAAUCACUCCCAGUUUAUGUGUAUCAUUUCAUCUUCUUCUUCAUGCUUUUCUCUAUUCCAACCAUAUAAUAGAUUUCACAUAGAAAUUAAAAAAAAAAAUCGAAUUCAACCUUUCAAAAUUCAAUCAAUUUCACCCUAAUUCCCAAUCUCAGAUACCAAAAUUUAAAUCUUCACAAAAUUCAACACAAAAUUAACAGAAAAAACAAAAAAAAAAUCAGAAAAACCCAUCACCAAAAUCUAU
RNAcentral lists this long non-coding RNA (1131 nucleotides) under Capsicum annuum. RNAcentral describes it as "long non-coding RNA (CANN_LNC011297)". Lineage: Eukaryota; Viridiplantae; Streptophyta; Magnoliopsida; Solanales; Solanaceae. The record is from RNAcentral.